GGGCUGAAGAACCUUUUUCCACAUGUUGGAAUUGAGGAAUUUGGGAUUUUGGGAUUAAUCAUUAUCAUGCUGCAGGAAUGGACACAUUCUUAUCAUCAUCAGAAUUCAGGAUUUGGCAUUCAUUUUCUCAGGAAUUUCGGGAUAAGACCCCCCUUUUUUCCCCUUCCUAAUCCCCCCUUUUUCUUGUCAUUUGGAAAAGAAUACAACAUUCUACAUUUGAACUACUAAUCCUGCACUAAAGCACAGCUGAGUGUACUACUGAGAAUUUAGAUGGCGAUAGAUAAUUGAGCUAGUUCAAUCUCCUUUCUAAUCACAAAGUCAAGAAACUUAAAUCCCCCCUUUUUUCUUGUUAUUAGGAAAAACAUAUGACAUUCAAUGUUCAAUCUACCAAUCCUAUGUUGAUGCACAACUGAGUGUAGCACUGAAAAAUUGAAAAUUUGAUGGCGAUAGAUAAUUGAGCUAGUUCAAUCUCCCUUCUAAUCACAAAGUCAACGAAACUUAAAACUGAAAUCAAUUUCCAACAGGUUUUCUUCCCAAUUAUUAUCAACAAGUGAAGAAAAUUGUCAAUAAAUUGUGAUCUUUCUAACACAUUUUUCUUACUGAAACCACCUGCCUAUUUCUCCAUUAAGACAUAUUUUCAGUGGUGACAAAUUUUCACGUCACUUUUAAACAACUAGGGGGUCAACGUAGCUUUAAGUUUCCGAUAUAAAUUGACCUGCUUGAAUUACAGUGUCGAGGUGACAGAACACUAUGCAUAUAAUUAGGGUGCUUAGAAUCUCGGAGCAUUCAAUUAUUUUCAAGCUACUGAGGACAAUUUUGAUUUAAUCUGUAAUGGAGCGGAAAGCAUAUAACGCCAAAUUCAAUAAUCGUAACAAAAGCUAAAGCAGAGUGACCACUCGUUUAUUUUUAUUUGUCACGAUGGAAAUGCAAUAAAAACGCUGUCGUGAGAACUUAUUUAAAUACAAUUGUCCACUAUUAUUCGGCCCUGAUUACUAAUCCAUGCUGGAAUGUCCCUAAUAAAUUUAAUUAUAUCAAUUUCUAAGCAAUUCUAUUAGAAAAACUAUCCAAGAUAUUUUUGUAAAUACUUCACAAUGGUAAUGGGUUUUCACACUUCAGAGUCAAUUAGAUAUAUAUAUAUAUAUAUGCUCCAUCUGGUUAACAGGAAAAUAAUUCAUUGAACACAAUAUACUGCUAUUUUAUAAAAAUACUGAUGACAAUUGUAGAAGGUUGGUCGUUGUACAGGUAUAAAAUGACAGGAGUCAGUUUCACAAAAAAAUUUACCACUUAGAUUGAUCGUAAGUAACACUGAAUUGUUCAUGACUUAUCAUCAAUCAUUCUAAAUAGUAAGUUAUUUUGUGAAACGGACUUUAGGUAUCUAAAUCAAUCAUGGAUUUACAGUACAUAUACAGCUGUUGGUCAAAGCUUAUACAGUGGUGGAUCCAGGGGGGGAGAGUUCAGGGGGUUGGAACCUCCCCCCUUUUUUUGGAACAAUCUAUACAUCCAAAUUGGGACAUAGGGUUGGAACCCCACCCUUUAAUCCUGUGUUCUUCAACAUGAAUAUUUAUUUUUUGACAUUUUUCAGUUUUGAUUUUGUUAUUGUAGCUUUUUUGUGUGUGUGUUUUUUUAAGGGGGAGGGGGUCUCUAUAUAUCUUUUAGAUUUAUCUUUUUUUUUUUGGUUUCUGCUUUAUUGGCAUUUCAUCAAAUUCUCCCUUCAUUCCCGUAACAAUUACAAUGUGAUCCACAUCAGCACUCAAUCAAUCACAUCAAAUUUCAUUUUCUAGAUACAUUGAUGUUUGUCUUGUUCUAAUUGGGUUUUUUUUGUUAAAGUUUUUUCUUUAAAAUGGGGGGGGGGGUUGUUCUAAUGACUUCUUCUACUCAAUGUCUCAUGAUUAUUCUUACAUACUCUUCAGCAUAAUAAUAAUUUUGUCAAAUUUAUGCUAACUACGAGUUUUUAAAAUUCUGUACAUUUCUAUUUUCUUGGGCAUAUAAUACAUAAUCAGUGCCUGAGAAUAUGAAGUACUUCAAACAACUGCUGCCAGCUCUGACAAGACACAGAUAUAUGCCCAUUAAGAUAAGAAUAUAUGCAAUCCAAUGAUAAGAUACAAUUACAUAGAAUUCCAAUGACUUAAUGCAAUGUAAAGAUUGAGUGACAGACCAAGGCUCACAGUUAAUAAACAAGUUAAAGGCCAUCUCAAUGUUUUCUCAACAAAUCUAGGGGUCAUCUCAAAGAGUUUUUCUGAUUCAUUAAAUAUUGUUAAACAUUUUAAUGUAUAACAGAAAUUAAGUGAAGAAAAAGUAGAUGCUGACCCCUGAAUUUGUUUAUUUUCCUGAGUGUUUAAUUUGUGGAUUGAAAAAAAAUUUUUGAAAUUUUUAUAUUUUUGUCAAAGGGUCAAAGUAAACAUUUUGUCAAAAUUUUAUGAAAAUUAAACUAGCCAAAUUAAUAUUAGUCAAUGUGUUAGGUACCACCUUAAAUUUGGUGGAUAUUUUCAUGUGUUUGCCAAAGUAUGCAUAACUAAGUUGAUAGGAAAUGCGUACAUCAUUAAUUUUUUAAAUGUGGUUAACCUGUACGUGUACCAACAAAAUCCCAAAAAUGUAUAUUCUGACUUGGAAGAAUAAUCAAUCCAUAGAAGCCAAAAAAUUACUUAUUUGAAAAUUGUUUUCUUGCAGAAAAUUAAAUUGAU
RNAcentral lists this long non-coding RNA (2681 nucleotides) under Mytilus galloprovincialis (Mediterranean mussel). Lineage: Eukaryota; Metazoa; Mollusca; Bivalvia; Mytilida; Mytilidae. The record is from RNAcentral.